AACGAACGCUGGCGGCAUGCCUAACACAUGCAAGUCGAACGAGACCUUCGGGUCUAGUGGCGCACUGGUGCGUAACGCGUGGGAACCUGCCCUUAGGUUCGGAAUAACUCCCCGAAAGGGGUGCUAAUACCGGCUAAUGUCUUCGGACCAAAGAUUUAUCGCCUUUGGAUGGGCCCGCGUUGGAUUAGCUAGUUGGUAGGGUAAAAGCCUACCACUGCGACGAUCCAUAGCUGGUCUGAGAGGAUGAUCAGCCACACUGGGACUGAGACACGGCCCAGACUACUACGGGAGGCAGCAGUGGGGAAUAUUGGAAAAUGGGCGAAAGCCUGAUCCAGCAAUGACGCGUGAGUGAUGAAGGCCUUAGGGUUGUAAAGCUAUUUUACCCGGGAUGAUAAUGACAGUACCGGGAGAAUAAGCUCCGGCUAACUCCGUG
Molecule: ribosomal RNA, 433 nt
Filed under: uncultured bacterium
Lineage: Bacteria
Description: partial 16S ribosomal RNA
Rfam family: Bacterial small subunit ribosomal RNA
Source: RNAcentral